Molecule: ribosomal RNA, 426 nt
Filed under: uncultured bacterium
Lineage: Bacteria
Description: bacterial SSU rRNA
Rfam family: Bacterial small subunit ribosomal RNA
Source: RNAcentral
GGGCCCGCACAAGCGGUGGAGCAUGUGGUUUAAUUCGAUGAUACGCGAGGAACCUUACCAGGGCUUAAAUGUAAGUUGCAUAGAUCAGAGAUGGUCUUUUCUUCGGACUACUUACAAGGUGCUGCAUGGUUGUCGUCAGCUCGUGCCGUGAGGUGUCAGGUUAAGUCCUAUAACGAGCGCAACCCCUAUCGUUAGUUGCCAACAGGUUAAGCUGGGAACUCUAACGAGACUGCCGGUGCAAACCGCGAGGAAGGUGGGGAUGACGUCAAAUCAUCACGGCCCUUACGUCCUGGGCUACACACGUGCUACAAUGGCCGGUACAGAGAGCAGCCACUCCGCGAGGAGGAGCGAAUCUAUAAAACCGGGUCUCAGUUCGGAUCGGCAGUCUGCAACUCGACUGCGUGAAGCUGGAAUCGCUAGUAAUCG